CCCGCUUGCAGAUAGGGGGAGAUCGCGAACGUCAGGUCUUCCCAGUAUGAAAAUGUGAUGCAAGAGAUUUUGCCAUCGACAGCCAUCAAUAUCGUUAAGCCCUGCACAACUAACGUGCUGUUUCCCAUUUAACAACAGAAAUAAAUUAUGCUCAACUGGGACCACUGGCUGAUGUGAUUUAUUUGGACAAAACACAACGCAAGGAGAGUACGAUUUACAUCUGUCAGAACCUUGAUUUAAUAUCACAUCCAGAACGUACAAGUCAUGAGCAGAAACUACAUGUCCAAGUAUGAUGAGAUGCAUAGGGAGACUACCUUAUGUCCAACAACCACAAGUGGAAAGCUUGCUUCCAGCGCGACGCCUAUCGCAAGACGACUGCAACUUUGUAAUGUACAAGAAGGACAACAAGAUGAUAUGGCAGACCAAGUGCCCGGCGUCUGGUGGCUGUGUAAUGAUGUGCCGCAUGUGGCUGUGUAAUGAUGGCACCAUGGUGGUGGAGAGGAGGUGUGGUCCUCUGCUCAGUCUAAGGGAUUCAAGCAGUGAGCAGAGCACCUGCAUCUCUACCGGGGAUAAGUUCAUGUUGAUAAUACCCACACUUUCCAUCUGUGUUGUAUGACUGUCUUCCUUGACCUAUGUUCAAUAAAGAGCAUGGUAAAAAUAAAAGAUC
Molecule: long non-coding RNA, 667 nt
Filed under: Salmo salar (Atlantic salmon)
Lineage: Eukaryota; Metazoa; Chordata; Actinopteri; Salmoniformes; Salmonidae
Description: lncRNA (ENSSSAG00000095237.1, ENSSSAG00075038371.1)
Source: RNAcentral